UGAGCAGGGGGUGGAGGGAGAUGGCUCAGCCCAGCUGUCGGCUGAGCGGCAUUCCAGGUGUCUGUCGGCAGAGUCUCCCGGAGCUAGCACUGUCUCAUUUCUCCCCCUUCCUUCUUGGCCUGCAGAGCCUGCCGCAGCGGAGAAGGGUGAAUGAAGCACGGGCGCGAAGAGAGAAUUCAGGAUUCCUGACUCCCUGCUUGGGCCACCCAUGGGAACGCCUGGGGCAGCUCCUGCUCAGGCUAUGCAGGGACCAAACUGAACAUUUUAUCCCAAAUGGAGCAGGCUGGAGCACCAGGGGCCAAGGAUCAGCAGGACUCGCUGGAAGAAGAAAGCUCAGAAACCCCCUCCUUCACAACCUGCACUUUCAGCCUAGACGGCUAGACUGUGUCCCUUGAACUGCCUUCAUCUCCACCCUACUUUCAGUUUGUCCUGGAUGGAUGUUCCCCAAGACCCACCUCUUUCCAAAACAGGGCUCUGUUAGCACACCGCCAGGGAGAGGCGAGAGUGUUUUCUGACUCUUUCUGCAUAAUUUCUAUAGCUGUCAAAGGGGAGUUGGAACCAAUCACCCCCAUGCCGACCCAGAGCAGUAAACUUCACUUUGAUGUCCUUCUGCACUGUACAGAUACACUGAGUGACCGACAGUGAAACACAUGUCUUUAAGGCACACAUUUCAGGAGAACACAGCUGUAUUGUGGAACACGC
Molecule: non-coding RNA, 702 nt
Organism: Chrysemys picta bellii (western painted turtle)
Lineage: Eukaryota; Metazoa; Chordata; Testudines; Emydidae
Source: RefSeq, a predicted model, not a curated record